RNAcentral lists this long non-coding RNA (212 nucleotides) under Manihot esculenta (cassava). RNAcentral describes it as "long non-coding RNA (MESC_LNC005325)". Lineage: Eukaryota; Viridiplantae; Streptophyta; Magnoliopsida; Malpighiales; Euphorbiaceae. The record is from RNAcentral.
UUUUAAUAUGGAUUUCCUCCUUUCUUAGUUAACUUAUCAAGAAUUUUUUGUGGCAUUUUAUAGCUGAAAUUGCGUAAUUAUCUAUAUUUUUAAUCACAUUGAUUAGUUAAGGGUGUGGUAGAGCAACCUUCUGGAAAUUAUCUUACCUCGUUCUUUGUCAAGUUGUGUGACAGGACUUUUUGAUAAUGAGUUGAUCUUGGAUUCUGUAUCAG